ACGCGCCUUGAGAAGAAGCUCAAGAGGUUUGAUGAGAAGCGAGGGGGUUGGGUGUCAGGGCGGAAGAAGAACCACAACGUUGCUUCCAUCAAGGAUGAAGCCAUUGUCUUGCUUGAGAAACUCCAUGCCAUUGGCUUUAAACCAGUGCUGCUUCUUGGCAAGGAGACCAGGAAGAAGGA
Molecule: long non-coding RNA, 179 nt
Organism: Notothenia coriiceps (black rockcod)
Lineage: Eukaryota; Metazoa; Chordata; Actinopteri; Perciformes; Nototheniidae
Exons: 2
Source: RefSeq, a predicted model, not a curated record